RNAcentral lists this long non-coding RNA (1456 nucleotides) under Cricetulus griseus (Chinese hamster). RNAcentral's name for it is "lncRNA (ENSCGRG00000025643.1)". Lineage: Eukaryota; Metazoa; Chordata; Mammalia; Rodentia; Cricetidae. The record is from RNAcentral.
GUUUAGGAAGCCUGUCUUGGUAACUCCCAACUACCAAAUCGUGAGAUUUUUCUGAAAAGUCAGAAGAGGCUGCCUGGAGUCCUCCCUCCUCUUCGCUAGAGAGACCUUUAAACCUGGCCUGCAUCCCAACGUCCUCCCGGGGAAACCUGAAGUGAGGUUGGAAGGGCACAGAGUCUCCACGUUUGGGCUCAGCCUCUUACCGUAAGAAAGUGUAGGUGACUCGAAAUGGUCUUUGCAGUUUUCAGUGGCGCCCUUGACCCACGAGUAACCUAUACAGGAAAGGCGAAGUGGCUACUUAACUCACAGGUCGCAGCUCCCUUCUAGGAUUCCGGGAAAGCUGCUAGCGACAUCCAGCGUGCCUGCCUCUCCUUCCUUCCUUCUUUGGAGCUUGAUCCCUAGUUUGAGCCCCAGCAACCACCUUCAGAUCCUCCGGCUAGGCCCUGCCUCUGCAGAGAGCAUCGCGGGGGUGUUGAGUCCGCAUGUAGUGACCUCAGCAGGGUCGGGAGAGAACAGGUGAGACCCUCCGUGUGCAGCGAUGCAGAGCUGGCCUGGCCUACGCAGGAAGCGAGUACAAGGCAGUGACAGGCGGAAGAAAUCUUUACUCUUUCCAGCACCCCUCCCUCAUUUUGUAAGCCGUUUGUUUCCAGGAGCUUUAUGUAACCUCAGUACAAAUUGGAGCACCAAGAUCUGCAGGCUUUGCCUCAAGAAUAUCAGCAUCAGAGCCCUUCUCCUGACCCCAAGGACUUCAGGGAUGAUCUGGAAGCUUUCAGGGUGUGACUGCUGUCUUAAGGCAGCAUUGGAGAGGAGCAAUGACAAGGAGUAGGGGAGCAACCUAAAGCAAAGUGCAAUGUGGGUUGUAUAUGAAAAUAUAGUGAUGAAAUCCACUAUUCUGUAUGAUAACUAAACAUUUUAAUAAAGGAAGAAAAACAACACAAGUCCAGGGUCAAGUGGAAAGCAAUAAACUAAACUAUAAAUCCCCCUGUGCCCAGUGUGGUGGUGUACCUGCACUGACUCCCCUGGUCACUACUCUGUCACACACAAAAGUAGCCUCUCUAUAAUCAUCAAUCUGUCCUUUGAUGGAGCACACUAGCAGCUGCAGGCUAGGUGUCCUCCUAAUGCCACAGCAUUGAAGCCACUUCAGAGAGAAUAUAAAGGCAGAGGUUUUCACUCUUGGAAGUAAGCCUAAAGAUCAUCUGGUCUACCCACAGCAGUUCACAGAUGACAGGAACUGAGAGAAGACAAAGAACCACUCCCCAAGGAAGAGCCCAGACUGGAGCUCUUCUUCAUAGCCCUGGGUCUAACACAUCUGUGAUGGCAGGGUCCCUUCUCCCUGUGAGAUAAAUUAGGUUCCACAUAGUUUAAUAAAGCAUACUACUGAAUGCCAUCAUUUAUAUUUAUAUUUGAUAUUUUCAUCAUUGUAAUAAGUCCUAUAAAUAAAAGGUAAAUGACAUUGUCA